This 251-nucleotide unclassified non-coding RNA is filed under the name uncultured fungus. Its description in RNAcentral is "sequence contains ITS1". The stretch from base 1 to 117 matches the Rfam family "5.8S ribosomal RNA", at positions 49 to 154 of the family's 154-position model. Lineage: Eukaryota; Fungi. The record is from RNAcentral.
UAAGAGGCGAUAUGUAAUGUGAAUCGCAACUAACAGUGAAUCAUCAAAUCUUUGAACGCAGGCCGCACCUUGCUGUAUGACAUCGUCUUACAGCAAGAUAUCCACGUAUGAGUGUCAGCCAAAUCCAAUUUUGGUUCAUGAGGGGAACGCUUAUGGCGAUCAAUUAAUGAAUGCACUCGUGUCUAGCGACAUAUCUUGAAGCCAUUCACGGUGUCUGGCCUCAUAUGUGGAAGGUUACCCGCUGGAUUUAA